Lonchura striata (white-rumped munia) is the source of this 1223-nucleotide non-coding RNA. Lineage: Eukaryota; Metazoa; Chordata; Aves; Passeriformes; Estrildidae. The record is from RefSeq and is a predicted model, not a curated record.
AGUGUUUGAAGUAUUCUUUCCCAGAAAAAAACCAGCAGCAACCUUGUUCCUAGUUUAGUUCUAUUACAUAACACAAUGUGCUGCGUGCCACAUAUCUAUGCUGCACAUAGGUACUGCAAGGAUGGAAAUAUGAAUAUGUGAUUUCACCCUUCCUUUUCCUACUAUUUCCAGCUAAGACUAUCAUAUAUGCAUGUUUUAUACAUCUCUGACCAUGAGCAUUUCAAGCUUUCAGUGACCUGAAUCUCACUGUGGAAAGGAAGAUGAAGAAAUUAGCCACAAGAGAAAAAAGCCCUGGAAGGAAAUUAAUAUCUGGUUGGAAUUAUACAAAGGAAGAGACAGAAGUACAUCGACAUCAUGACGCUGCCUUCACCAGACAAGCAUGGCUGUGGUCUUCCUGGUCCUGAAACACCUUUUUGAUUUUCAGUAGCAUCAAGAGCAAAACUUCCAUCACCUUGAUAUUUUGUCAACAAACUCUCAAGGACACCCGUGACAGCCAGGAGUUGGAGUUAAUGCUUCAUUCCAGGGGCUCAACUUGAGUAAUAUUAAAGGAAGCCUGGAACUGAUCGAUGUUUAAUUUUAUUACUGAAGAGAACUAAGAAAACCUUUCUGAAGCAUUUAAUAAAUUUCCAUAAUAAUAUAAGCCUGUGACUGUUUCUAUAACACGUUGUUCAAUUAUUGGUGUCUUUGAAAACAAAGCAAAUUAAUUUCAUGUAUACAAAUUUGCAUAACGUGUGAAAGUAAUGCAAGAACUGAAAAAGUUUCCUAUACACUACUGAGAACAGCUCACAAAAAAAUUUAUAGUAAAAUGUUCACUUCCAAGCUCCCAACUGCCUGGCCGAACUCUCAGUUAAAGAAGUCAAGGAUGGAUAUUUAAAUUCAACGUCUAAGGGAAAAAACCUUCAAAGUCCACAAAAGGCAUAAAAAGUAGAGAACUUCAGAUUGGUUGGGAGAAAAAUAUUGAUUACAAUAAAGAAAAUAUCUGAGACGAUGGUUGUCAACAAAUUUCAAAUGCUGGAAAUGCUGAACUUACUCUGAGUAAAAACAAAUUCCAUAUUCUUCCUCUAUUAGUAUAUAAAGCUAUUUUUCUUUCACUUUAAUAAGGAAUUAGUAUUAAAUUUGUUAUUUGAAAUCCAUCUAUAUUUUGAGUUGUUUCUUCAAAGAAUUCUAUUUCUUACAUGCAAAACCUUUCUGCAAUAAAGAAUGCAGACCUGUUCACUGCGCAA